GCAGCAGUGGGGCAGUCUGACAGAAUGGCCUCUAACAUGGAAGCGCAUAUGGAGAAAAGGUGUGGGAUUCAGUUCCUCCAAGAAGAAAAAAUGGCAACUCUUGACAUACACUGAUGCUUUCUGAACAUUUAUGGAAACCAACCAUUAAAUGUGAGCCCAGUGAGGCAGUGUGAUGCAUUUCAUCAGUGGUGACAGUGACAUGAAACACAAGCCAUACUCCGGAUGGCCAUGCAAAAUUUUAUAAGCAUGGCAUGAAGGCUCUUGUGGUGAGAAUGCACACUAAUGGUGGUACAUGAAUCCACAAGGUAUCCACCUCUCUUUUAGAAGAAAGAACUGUCCAUGGCUUGCUCAGAGCACAUGGGGUCUGGCCAAGAUGAAUGCAGAGGACUCUGAGCAGGACAUUGCUGAAGAAAAACUCUGAACAUGUUUUCUUCAGGAUUCAGUGUAGAGAAUGGGAUGGAAAAUAAGUCCAGCUCUUCUGGGUGACCACGAGGAGAGGAGCACAAGAGUCCUAAAUCCACUUUGGAUGCAAAAG
Molecule: long non-coding RNA, 535 nt
Organism: Gallus gallus (chicken)
Lineage: Eukaryota; Metazoa; Chordata; Aves; Galliformes; Phasianidae
Exons: 3
Source: RefSeq, a predicted model, not a curated record